CUUGUUGCUGAACCUGCAAGGCGAAGGAGGCGAGGAGAUCGAGCACCGCCGGCUUGCCUCCGGUGAGCUAUUGCUGGAUCUAGGACCACCGGGGAGGAGGGGGCUGUGGCAACUUCACCAUGCACUCGACCUCUACUAGCUUGCCCUCCAGAUAUAGGAAUGUGAGUUGACCGUCCGGGGCGCCCGCGGCCACCAGGGAAGAGGAGGCCAUGGCGGCGGCGGCCAGGUCCUGACGACGAUGCGCAGCACGAUGUUGGGCUGCCCUAGGGACGGAUCCAAGCGUAUUCGCAAAAAAAAAGGACGGAUCCAAUCCAAGCGACCUGGAUACCGGAGUAAGAAGGGAGGAGGCAGGGAACAGGUGGCGUGGGAGUAGCCGUCGUCGACCAGGGAAGCAACGGAUCUGCCGAUCUGGGCAGCCGCCACAGUCGACGAGAGAGGGGAACGGGAGCGAGCGACGGGGGUAGUCG
Molecule: ribosomal RNA, 467 nt
Filed under: Triticum aestivum (bread wheat)
Lineage: Eukaryota; Viridiplantae; Streptophyta; Magnoliopsida; Poales; Poaceae
Description: partial small subunit ribosomal RNA
Source: RNAcentral